Long non-coding RNA from Oncorhynchus keta (chum salmon), 269 nucleotides. RefSeq lists it as uncharacterized. The record is from RefSeq and is a predicted model, not a curated record. Lineage: Eukaryota; Metazoa; Chordata; Actinopteri; Salmoniformes; Salmonidae. The transcript is spliced from 3 exons.
CAGGCCCGAUUUAAGAGGUUGAGCCCUACACGUGCCCUACCCAGGCCCGAUUUAAGAGGUUGAGUCCUACACGUGCCCUACCCAGGCCCGAUUUAAGAGGUUGAGCCCUACACGUGCCCUACCCAGGCCCGAUUUAAGAGGUUGAGUCCUACACGUGCCCUACCCAGGCCCGAUUUAAGAGGUUGAGUCCUACACGUGCCCUACCCAGGCCCGAUUUAAGAGGUUGAGUCCUACACGUGCCCUACCCAGGCCCGAUUUAAGAGGUUGAG